ACUUGCGGUCACACUACCCUGAGAACGCCCAAUGUCUUCUGAUCUCGGAAGCUAAGCAGGGUUUGGCCUGGUUAGUACUUGAAUGGGAGACCACCUGGGAUUACCAGGUGCUGUAAGCU
Ribosomal RNA from Astyanax mexicanus (Mexican tetra), 119 nucleotides. The record is from Ensembl. Lineage: Eukaryota; Metazoa; Chordata; Actinopteri; Characiformes; Acestrorhamphidae.